AUGACCGCUGGCGGCGUGCCUAAUACAUGCAAGUCGAGCGAACAGACGAGGAGCUUGCUCCUCUGACGUUAGCGGCGGACGGGUGGGUAACACGUGGAUAACCUACCUAUAAGACUGGGAUAACUUCGGGAAACCGGAGCUAAUACCGGAUAAUAUAUUGAACCGCAUGGUUCAAUAGUGAAAGACGGUUUUGCUGUCACUUAUAGAUGGAUCCGCGCCGCAUUAGCUAGUUGGUAAGGUAACGGCUUACCAAGGCAACGAUGCGUAGCCGACCUGAGAGGGUGAUCGGCCACACUGGAACUGAGACACGGUCCAGACUCCUACGGGAGGCAGCAGUAGGGAAUCUUCCGCAAUGGGCGAAAGCUUGACGGAGCAACGCCGCGUGAGUGAUGAAGGUCUUCGGAUCGUAAAACUCUGUUAUUAGGGAAGAACAAAUGUGUAAGUAACUAUGCACGUCUUGACGGUACCUAAUCAGAAAGCCACGGCUAACUACGUG
Molecule: ribosomal RNA, 496 nt
Filed under: uncultured bacterium
Lineage: Bacteria
Description: partial 16S ribosomal RNA
Rfam family: Bacterial small subunit ribosomal RNA
Source: RNAcentral